RNAcentral lists this non-coding RNA (25 nucleotides) under Rattus norvegicus (Norway rat). The record is from RNAcentral. Lineage: Eukaryota; Metazoa; Chordata; Mammalia; Rodentia; Muridae.
UAGAGCAAGUGACGAUUCUCGCAGA